Long non-coding RNA from Salvia miltiorrhiza (redroot sage), 586 nucleotides. RefSeq lists it as uncharacterized. The record is from RefSeq and is a predicted model, not a curated record. Lineage: Eukaryota; Viridiplantae; Streptophyta; Magnoliopsida; Lamiales; Lamiaceae. The transcript has 3 exons.
CACUUUUUCCCCAAAUUUUCUGCAACACAUGCCCUAAUCUAGUUUCAUCCAAUCAUCCCAAAUUGACAUUCCAUGGCGAGGAGAUUCAACUAGCGAACCUCAAUCGUGCAAAGUGCAAACAUAACUCUUCGACGACGCAAACUCACCGCGGAUUAAACGUGACCACACAAAGCUUCUCGAAGACGCAGUGAUAAUAAUCUAGCCAAAGAUCUUCAUCUGAAAGACCAAAUGGACAUCGACAAUGGAUGAGUUCCGAUUGAGGUGAUUGCCGGUUUUAACCGAGGAGACAAACUAAGGCGACGUACUACUUGGAAGAAAUGGAUAGCUUAUCGUAAAGUAGCGCCUUAUGGAAUAAAGAUUGUUCGAUCGAAUUCCCACCAGUUAAGGAAUGUCAAGCAAAGACAAAGGAAUUAAUGUUGUUCCAACUCCCACCCAGUUAAGGAGUGUCAAGCAAAGACAAAGCAAAAGCUAAGGCAAACAAGUAACACAAAAACAAUGCUGAUUUUGUAUAUAUUUUUAGACUGAGUACUUUUUUUUCUUUAGUGGUGUUUUUUCCUUCAAGUUUUUACCGUAAAAGAUUUAAUGA